GCUCUCCGUCUGCUCCAGUUGAAGACGAUGGUUAUCAGAUUUUGAUAAAAUCUCAAUCGAUUCAUGAUCAGGUUUAGAUCAUUUUAAUCUUCUCCACCGUUUCCCCCUCUCUCAAUCCCAAGAGCCUAUGGAAGAUGUUCUAAACACAAACAGAUCUGAUUCGAAAGAGUCACUUUAAGACAAGAAGCACGGAGUUAUCAUUCUCCUAGUUGUCUGCUUUUUAUCAAGAGAGAGGUGUGUAUUUUGAUGGUUGGUCUCAUUAUUUAAAGGUUUAUUUGGUAACAGACAGUUACAGGGAGCUUUUAAGGAGUACCAUGGACGUCGGUAAAGGGAGUCAUGGAGACAGUAUGGAACUUGCAAGAUUUCAGGUGUUCAAGUUGAGGUGUGUGUCUUGAUGCUGCUGGCAAGACUACCAUUUUAUAGAAGCUCAAGCUUGGAGAGAUUGUAACCUAAUUCCUACCACUACCUGAAACAAAAGGUGUCGAAACUGUUUGGAAUCGUUGAAUUAGAGAUACAUUUUGGGGAGGAAAAAAAGAAAACCAAGAUAGGAUCAAUUGAUUCAAUCAGCAGCUUCAUUUUGUUCUAAGCACAACUCCGAUGUGGAUAGGGGGAUGAAGGUCAAAGAUGCUAAAGAUGGGUCCUACCCCUAAUGCUUCUCUGCUCGCAACCCAAGAUAUUGCAAGAUGGUGAUAGGUUAACUGCUAAACCAUCCUAUAAACCUGCCAUUAUUCAGAAAGAGGUUGGCGUGGUUGAUAUUUGUUUUAGUUUGUGCAGACUAGAGUGGCAGUCUGGCUAUCAUGAAUGUUGGAUUUUCUGUAUUUUUGU
Molecule: long non-coding RNA, 825 nt
Organism: Papaver somniferum (opium poppy)
Lineage: Eukaryota; Viridiplantae; Streptophyta; Magnoliopsida; Ranunculales; Papaveraceae
Exons: 6
Source: RefSeq, a predicted model, not a curated record